UCAGCUGAGAAUGGCAGGAAGGCAGGAGAGAUGGGUAGAUGAAGAAAAGAGGGGGUAGGAAGGAGAGGAGAACAGGGACAGGGAGAAGGAGAGAGGCUGAGUGGGACAGGACUUGUGAAGAGUUAUAAGAAAGGAAAUGGUAUGGGAGAGAGGAAUUAAGGCUCAGAAGAAAGAGGACAGGCGUAUGGAAAGAGAUGGAAAAAGCGGAGAGCCAUCAGCUCGGGACUCCCUCUCUCUGCCACCCCCGCUGACGUCCUGCCCAGGACACAUUAACCAGGAAGAGACACAGUGGCUUUAGGGACCAGAUAGCCGACGGCCAAGGUACUGCAGUCAGCACUCAUAUCUGGAGCAUACAGUAUCUACGUUCUCUGGAGGCUAUGAGAUCUCCAAAGGUAAUCCGCCAAACUAACCAAAAAAAAAAACAGAUUUAUUCCCCCACAGUGGGGCUCCAGUCCUGCUGCUGGAGGGCUGUAGUGUGUCUGCAGGUUUUCUUUCCAGCUCAACUCUUAACGAGCUAACUCUGCUCGCUGUUGCCUUAAUUGGACCUAUUCAACAGCUUCUCCCAGCUCUGCGUGUGCUGCUGCUUAUAAAACAGACACCAGCUCUCCAGGAGCAGGACUGCACACCCCCCAAUCAACAGCAUCUCCGCAGUAAAGCGAAUGAACUGCAUUUUUCUCUCUGCCUUUUAACCUUCCUUCGCAGGGCACUCAUUUGAGAGCCACUGCUGUCAGCAAUGGCCAAAUUGUGUUCAGCUCCCUGAGCGGGGAGUUCAGCCAGCAUUACACAUGAAAAACCCACUCAUCUUCACACUCUUCGCACAGCAUGUCAUUUACACCUCAGAUCGUUAGGAACACAGAGGAAUCGUGCUGAAGGUCCGCUGUGACUCUGCUCUCUAUCAGCAUUUCAACACUUUUGCAGCCUCCUCCCCUUGAUCCUGACCUUCCUUAGGAGGAGGGGAGGCUCCUUGUAUGUUUAUGUCAUCCCGGGAAUAAACACGGACACACGCGGGCCACGACAGGGGGCACGCGCCAGAGCAGAGAAACGUGGGCUCUCUCCCCCGGCGUGCAGGAGAGCAGCGUUCUAACGUGGCGCGGCUGAGUACGAUCAAAUAAUUUUCACCCGGGACUGCAUGCCAUGAUUUCUGACGGCAGAUUGCCAGCACUCUUACCAGCGACACCGACGGGGGGGUGCUGUGUAAAGGCACAUACAAGAGGGGCUUAUGUCCUGCCCUAGCCAAAGGGCAGGCAGGCAGGCUUGUCAGGGAGCUGUGCCAGCCCAGGCUCCAGGAAUAGAGCGAGGG
RNAcentral lists this long non-coding RNA (1300 nucleotides) under Lepisosteus oculatus (spotted gar). RNAcentral describes it as "lncRNA (ENSLOCG00000021586.1)". The record is from RNAcentral. Lineage: Eukaryota; Metazoa; Chordata; Actinopteri; Semionotiformes; Lepisosteidae.